UGCGGAUAUAUGCCGUCGUUCGUGAAGAUGACAUCAGCGGAGGCGAGGAUUGAGCGCUUUAAUAAGAAGACAAUAGUGGCUGUAUUGUGGUACAUUUACAUGCGCUUAACAUUUGUGUGUCCAUUUUUUCUGACGUUAGACUGUUGGACCCUUUUCCAUGGUAAGAGUUGCUGGCUGAGUUGCAUCGGUCAUGUUAGGAUUUGCUAUGAAUUCGUACCUGUCAUUCAGGGAUAGUUCAAAUGUAUGAAGAAAGCAGUGAGUGCUGUGGUUCACAGCUGUGAACCUGCAGGUCAUGUGCAACGGCGGUGCACUUUGCACAUUGUACAGCUCGUGUACUGCUAUUGUAAAGCUUUUGUAUUGCACGGUUGGCCGUACAGUUCGCAGUCCCGCACGCAAGUCGCAGUCACUCGCGUAAAAUUCAAAUGGUAGCACAUGCAUUCGCAGGAUUCGCAGUCGCGUAUGCCAUUCGCAAUCCCUUGCGUUUGGCGAUAUGCUCGCGUUAAAAGCUCACCUGGUCGCGUUUAGGGUCGCGUAAAACUCGCGAAUUCAUUCGCCACAUUCGCAUGUUGUUGUUGUUACAUGGUCGUGGGUGCGUUCCCCGUACCUGCA
Molecule: long non-coding RNA, 609 nt
Filed under: Volvox carteri
Lineage: Eukaryota; Viridiplantae; Chlorophyta; Chlorophyceae; Chlamydomonadales; Volvocaceae
Description: long non-coding RNA (VCAR_LNC002493)
Source: RNAcentral